RNAcentral lists this ribosomal RNA (440 nucleotides) under uncultured bacterium. RNAcentral's name for it is "partial 16S ribosomal RNA". It matches the Rfam family "Bacterial small subunit ribosomal RNA", at positions 338 to 795 of the family's 1533-position model. The record is from RNAcentral.
CCUACGGGCGGCAGCAGUGGGGAAUAUUGCACAAUGGGGGAAACCCUGAUGCAGCGACGCCGCGUGAGUGAAGAAGUAAUUCGGUAUGUAAAGCUCUAUCAGCAGGGAAGAAAAUGACGGUACCUGAGUAAGAAGCCCCGGCUAACUACGUGCCAGCAGCCGCGGUAAUACGUAGGGGGCAAGCGUUAUCCGGAUUUACUGGGUGUAAAGGGAGCGUAGACGGCAGUGCAAGUCUGGAGUGAAAGGCGGGGGCUCAACCCCCGGACUGCUCUGGAAACUGUACGGCUGGAGUGCAGGAGAGGUAAGCGGAAUUCCUAGUGUAGCGGUGAAAUGCGUAGAUAUUAGGAGGAACACCAGUGGCGAAGGCGGCUUACUGGACUGUAACUGACGUUGAGGCUCGAAAGCGUGGGGAGCAAACAGGAUUAGAUACCCCGGUAGUC